AGAUACGGAGGUAGAGCACUGAAUGUCCUAGGGGGUAUUGCACCUACCGAAGACUAUCAAACUCCGAAUGCCGUCAUCUUAUACUUGGGAGUCAGACUGUGGGUGAUAAGAUUCAUAGUCGAAAGGGCAACAGCCCAGAUCGUCAGCUAAGGUCCCUACAUGUAAGUUAAGUGGUAAAGGAUGUGGGAUUGCACAGACAACCAGGAUGUUGGCUUAGAAGCAGCCACUCAUUCAAAGAGUGCGUAAUAGCUCACUGGUCGAGUGAUCCUGCGCCGAAGAUUUCCGGGGCUAAAAC
Molecule: ribosomal RNA, 295 nt
Filed under: Clostridioides difficile
Lineage: Bacteria; Bacillati; Bacillota; Clostridia; Peptostreptococcales; Peptostreptococcaceae
Description: partial 23S ribosomal RNA
Rfam family: Bacterial large subunit ribosomal RNA
Source: RNAcentral